Long non-coding RNA from Malaya genurostris, 1331 nucleotides. RefSeq lists it as uncharacterized. The transcript is spliced from 3 exons. Lineage: Eukaryota; Metazoa; Arthropoda; Insecta; Diptera; Culicidae. The record is from RefSeq and is a predicted model, not a curated record.
UAUUACGUAAUUUUUUCUACAACCCUUAGGAAUAGAUCUAUAGUUUCCAUUAGCCAGAAAGUGUCUCGGCUAUGAGCAUAUUUGGAAUUGCAUGUUUAAUCAUAUUUUCAACAAAAUAAUAUUCGGAGUUUGGCAAAACCACUACAAAUACAUUUUCAUUCAAUUAUCGAAUGUUAUUCGGUGGUUCGGUGAACAUUGAACGGCGGGUGUUUAACAUUAUUUACAAAAUACAUCGCUUAACUUGCUCAACUGCCAGAUGGGGGAAAUGACUGCAUCCGGUAAGCCUACCCUAAUGCUUGCCAUUUGACAUACAAUUUCCGGACUCCAAAGGGAAGGUCCAUGAUGAAUUCGAGUUUCCUAAUCACUUCGUUUGUGGAAAGGUCGGAGAGCAGACCGCGUCGAGUAGUGCUUACUAUAUUCAUUGAUUUGCUCGAUGUUAAAUUAAAUAUUAGUUAUUUAAUUGCAAAAAGUGUUCUGCUUGUGCUCGAUAAAACAAAUUCAGGAAGAAACCUGUUCGACAGGUGGUAUAUUUCGGACGCAACGUUCCGACUGAGCCGUGGUGAUUCAGUCCACAAACGAACCGGCGGGAGUUAACCCGAACGCCGGACCGGCACUCGGCGAGUCCGCAGUGUCCCGUAGAGGCACGCCAUCACACUCUACGUCCAUCAAAUUUCACCGACCACUCGAGUCACCCCUGGCGCAUGCGGCAAACAUGGAGGGCGCCCUACUUGCUGGACACUAAACUCAGCCACAUCAAUUCCAGCCCUGCCGAACGCCGCUACUGCCGGAGUCGUGAGUACCCCGCUGAAGCAAACCCUGCGCGCAGGUAUGUUAAUGUUAGUGUUAUGGCCAUACACGUGUUUAGUUGAGAACCAUACUGUCCAAUAAGAAUUACCACCCACGGGGUGAUUUGUAAUCCAGUAGGAAAUUCAGAAUGGGGAAUAGGGAGUUAGGCGAACACUAGAAUAAACAAAUAAAAUAGAGCUGCAAUGUUUUCCUUGAAAAGUGCGUUUUACGUUAACUAACCUCGUUACCUUGAUUCGGGAUCCGCGGAAAAUGUCGGAGAUUGUUCGUUCAUUUGUUUUUUUCUUUCCCUACGGUGUCUGGAAACUCGAAUCCUUCGUUUCGGAACGGGCGAUAAAGAUCUGAAUGGGGCAUUCGUUUCUCUCUAGUGACGUUGGGGAAGUCGGGAGAUUUUUGAAUAUAGAUCAGGAUUUUUGAACCCUAGCCUUCAAGGUUGCCUGACCAUCGAGUUGAAUUCUGUGAAGCCGGGCAAGUCAACACGACAAGCGAUCUCUCUCCGGAGAGUGGCGCGUAAAUCGCCAUGUUAA